GCAGUCUUGGCCGAGUGGUUAAGGCGAUAGACUCGAAAUUCAUUGGGGUCUCCCCGCACAGGUUCGAAUCCUGUCGACUGCG
This 82-nucleotide transfer RNA is filed under the name Ixodes scapularis (black-legged tick). RNAcentral describes it as "tRNA-Ser". It matches the Rfam family "tRNA". Rfam says of the family: Transfer RNA (tRNA) molecules are approximately 80 nucleotides in length. Their secondary structure includes four short double-helical elements and three loops (D, anti-codon, and T loops). Further hydrogen bonds mediate the characteristic L-shaped molecular structure. tRNAs have two regions of fundamental functional importance: the anti-codon, which is responsible for specific mRNA codon recognition, and the 3' end, to which the tRNAs corresponding amino acid is attached (by aminoacyl-tRNA synthetases). tRNAs cope with the degeneracy of the genetic code in two manners: having more than one tRNA (with a specific anti-codon) for a particular amino acid; and 'wobble' base-pairing, i.e. permitting non-standard base-pairing at the 3rd anti-codon position. The record is from RNAcentral. Lineage: Eukaryota; Metazoa; Arthropoda; Arachnida; Ixodida; Ixodidae.